GAUGAACGCUGGCGGCGUGCCUAAUACAUGCAAGUCGAGCGAACAGACGAGGAGCUUGCUCCUUCGACGUUAGCGGCGGACGGGUGAGUAACACGUAGGUAACCUACCUAUAAGACUGGGAUAACUUCGGGAAACCGGAGCUAAUACCGGAUAAUAUUUCGAACCGCAUGGUUCGAUAGUGAAAGAUGGCUUUGCUAUCACUUAUAGAUGGACCUGCGCCGUAUUAGCUAGUUGGUAAGGUAACGGCUUACCAAGGCAACGAUACGUAGCCGACCUGAGAGGGUGGUCGGCCACACUAGAGCUGGGACACGGUCCAGACUCCUACGGGAGGCAGCAGUAGGGAAUGUUCCGCAAUAGGCGAAAGCCUGACGGAGCAACGCCGCGUGAGUGAUGAAGGUCUUCGGAUCGUAAAACUCUGUUAUUAGGGAAGAACAAACGUGUAAGUAACUGUGCACGGCUUGACGGUACCUAAUCAGAAAGCCACGGCUAACUACGUG
This 497-nucleotide ribosomal RNA is filed under the name uncultured bacterium. RNAcentral describes it as "partial 16S ribosomal RNA". It matches the Rfam family "Bacterial small subunit ribosomal RNA", at positions 28 to 507 of the family's 1533-position model. The record is from RNAcentral.